This is a long non-coding RNA of Hibiscus syriacus, 111 nucleotides long. RefSeq lists it as uncharacterized. The record is from RefSeq and is a predicted model, not a curated record. Lineage: Eukaryota; Viridiplantae; Streptophyta; Magnoliopsida; Malvales; Malvaceae. The transcript has 3 exons.
AACUAUUAAAAGGGAAAUAAGACAUGGCACAAGGAAAAGCAAAUGAUACCCGUAAGUCACGUAAGGUUCGACAAGGUGAAGCAUGUUCAUUGUUGCCUUGUUUACUUUAAG